UACGUAGGGGGCAAGCGUUGUCCGGAUUUAUUGGGCGUAAAGAGCGUGUAGGCGGCCGUACAGGUCAGCUGUGAAAACUCGAGGCUCAACCUCGAGACGUCGGUUGAAACCGUACGGCUAGAGUCCGGAAGAGGAGAGUGGAAUUCCCGGUGUAGCGGUGAAAUGCGCAGAUAUCGGGAAGAACACCCGUGGCGAAGGCGGCUCUCUGGGACGGUACUGACGCUGAGACGCGAAAGCGUGGGGAGCGAACGAGG
Molecule: ribosomal RNA, 254 nt
Filed under: uncultured bacterium
Lineage: Bacteria
Description: partial 16S ribosomal RNA
Rfam family: Bacterial small subunit ribosomal RNA
Source: RNAcentral